RNAcentral lists this ribosomal RNA (494 nucleotides) under uncultured bacterium. Its description in RNAcentral is "partial 16S ribosomal RNA". It matches the Rfam family "Bacterial small subunit ribosomal RNA", at positions 28 to 507 of the family's 1533-position model. The record is from RNAcentral.
GACGAACGCUGGCGGCGCGCUUAACACAUGCAAGUCGAACGGAAAGGCCUGCUUUCCCUUGUGGAUUGCGGGUACUCGAGUGGCGAACGGGUGAGUAACACGUGAGUGAUCUGCCCCCAACUUGGGUAUAAGCCUGGGAAACUGGGUCUAAUUCCCGAUAGGACUGCAGGGUGGUGCCUGUGGUGGAAAACGAUUUUCUAGUGGUUGGGGAUGAGCUCGCGGCCUAUCGGCUUGUUGGUGGGGUAAUGGCCUACCAAGGCGGCGACGGGUAGCCGGCCUGAGAGGGUGGACGGCCACAUUGGGACUGAGAUACGGCCCAGACUCCUACGGGAGGCAGCAGUGGGGAAUAUUGCACAAUGGGCGGAAGCCUGAUGCAGCGACGCCGCGUGGGGGAUGACGUCCUUCGGGUUGUAAACUCCUUUCGACCGCGAGGAAGCCACCUGGUUGGAAGGGUGGUGACGGUAGUGGUAGAAGAAGCACCGGCUAACUACGUG